RNAcentral lists this ribosomal RNA (497 nucleotides) under uncultured bacterium. Its description in RNAcentral is "partial 16S ribosomal RNA". It matches the Rfam family "Bacterial small subunit ribosomal RNA", at positions 28 to 507 of the family's 1533-position model. The record is from RNAcentral.
GACGAACGCUGGCGGCGUGCCUAAUACAUGCAAGUCGAACGCUGAAGAGAGGAGCUUACUCUUCUUGGGUGAGUUGCGGACGGGUGAGUAACGCGUAGGUAACCUGCCUUGUAGCGGGGGAUAACUAUUGGAAACGAUAGCUAAUACCGCAUAACAAUGGAUGACACAUGUCAUUUAUUUGAAAGGGGCAAUUGCUCCACUACAAGAUGGACCUGCGUUGUAUUAGCUAGUAGGUGAGGGAAUGGCCCAACUAGGCGACGAUACAUAGCCGGCCUGAGAGGGGUAGAGGCCCAACUGGGAAUGAGACAAGGGCCAGACCCCUACGGGAGGCAGCAGGAGGGGAAUUUUGGCAAAGGGGGCAACCCUGAACGAGGAACGACGGGGGAGGGGAGAAGGUUCUCGGAUCGUAAAGGUCUGUUGUAAGUGAAGAAAGGGUGUGAGAGUGGAAAGUUCACACUGUGACGGUAGCUUAACAGAAAGGGACGGCUAACUACGUG